Molecule: long non-coding RNA, 572 nt
Filed under: Brachypodium distachyon (stiff brome)
Lineage: Eukaryota; Viridiplantae; Streptophyta; Magnoliopsida; Poales; Poaceae
Description: long non-coding RNA (BDIS_LNC002180)
Source: RNAcentral
CGGGGCCGGCUCGGUCCGGUUCGGGCGCGGGCGAAGCUGGGCCGGUUCGGCCCAAGCGGUCGGACCGGUCCGGUUUUCUCCUUUUUUUUUCUUUUCUUUUUUCCUUUUCUGUUUUUCUUUGAUAUCUUUUGAUUUUGAACUCCAAAUUGGUCCAAAUAAAUUCCAUAAAAUUUGUAAAAUCAUGUGUUAUCAUAAUUCAAAUUUUGGGAGUAAUUUUCCCUCAAAAUAAAUUAUAUAAAAAUACAUUUUCCCUAAUAAUGCCUUUAGGGCUAUAUAACUAUUUAAAUAAAAUAGUUUUUCAACUCCAAAUAAAUAUCCAAAAAUUAUGGUAUAGUUUAUUUAUUCAAUAAACCCUAUUUAUAAAUAAACCCUAUUGGUUUGAAGAUCCAAAGCUCAAAGGGGUGAAACCCUAAGGUUUAAAUUGAAAUAAAAUCUUUUAAAGUCUUUUGAGAUUCAAAUUUGAAUUCAAAUAUGCAAUUGUGGCAUGAUGCUCAUGGAUGCAAUGAAUAUGAAAGGUUUUGGAAUUCUGGGAUGUUACACACGCCCUGCCAGGGAAUUCUUCCUUGCCAGCA